AGAGGUUCGUCUCUGUUCUUCUCCCUUCUCUUGCUACUUAUUCUAGAGUUCGUAUCAUUGGUUGAAGAGAACGAAGAACUGAAGGGCGGAGAUGGGGCGGGAAGCAGCGCUGCGGACGAGCCUAGUGGCCCUGGCCGCGGUGAUGGCCGUCGUCGGGAUCUGGACUUUCUCCCCCAAGAAGGCGCUGGUCACCUACGCCUUCGGGAUCGUCGGCAUCGCCGGGUUCCUCUUGCCCGACUGGGAGUACUUCGACCGGGACCUCUCGCAGUGGUUCAUCCCCAUGCCCGCUCGGAGAACCGCCGCCGCGGCCGACCGGGCCCCCGGCAGCUCAAGAGGCUAUUGUUGCAGACGAUCAAACUGACUCUUGAGUGGAUCUUGAUGGGUUCCCAUUGAAAGAAUCUUGAUGUGCUAGGUUAAUGAAUCUGUAAAGGAAACCGAGGAUUCCAAACUGCAUCUCGGGGAGACGGAAACCCGAAACAAGAUUUGUGAUGCUGAUUUCACUUAUGUCCUCUGAGAGUGUUAGUAAUGAGCCUGACCUAUGGCUUUGGUUUAUACAAGUGGUGGAUGUUCAUAUCAAGCUAGUCUCUUUGGCCUCAUGAGGCUGUCUACAAUGACAACUAUUGUCUUUUGCCAGACAAUGCGAAAGUCCCUCUAUGACAUGGUUUCUUAUUCUUUGGUUAAACAGGAGUAUCUUAGAAUCAGGCUAUGUUGCUCUUAUCAUAUUCAACAAUGUUAUUUGCAAGAGUAGCUUCACAUCAUGGCAAAGCAUCCUUGUUCUUGAGCCAAUGAAGGACUUGUGUCACUCCAGCCAACAAAUCAGCAGCAUCCCUCCUCAGUAUAUACCAAUUUGUAAAGAACUUGUGGAAGGCAUUAUCUGGAUUUAGUAUUUCUUAUUGUCUAAUGAUGAUUUAGAUAAUAAUGAUGGUAAAUUUUAUAA
Musa acuminata AAA Group (dessert banana) is the source of this 937-nucleotide RNA transcript. It is a transcript of the gene named signal peptidase complex-like protein DTM1, with no coding region annotated. The record is from RefSeq and is a predicted model, not a curated record. The transcript is spliced from 3 exons. Lineage: Eukaryota; Viridiplantae; Streptophyta; Magnoliopsida; Zingiberales; Musaceae.